Molecule: long non-coding RNA, 1083 nt
Filed under: Gossypium barbadense (sea-island cotton)
Lineage: Eukaryota; Viridiplantae; Streptophyta; Magnoliopsida; Malvales; Malvaceae
Description: long non-coding RNA (GBAR_LNC001980)
Source: RNAcentral
UUAUUCAAAAAAAUUGAAAUUCAAAAUUAUCGUUCAAGAUUUUGAUGUUUGUAUAUAAUACUGUCAAUGUACACUUCUUAAUUUGAACAUCUAUGGAACUGUCAGGAUCUGCCUGCUGAACUUUUUGUGUAUGAAGAAAGGGUUGGAACUUGGAAGUUGCGAGUCGCUACAAAGACAGAAGGAGCCAAAGAUUGAAGAGAAUUAAAACAAAGGACAGAAGCCGCAACAUGAAAGUCAUAGCUGCAGACAACUGAUAUCUACUGCAUAUCUUUGACGGGCAAUAUGUAGAGCUGACAUUGACCAAAAGACUUGUCACACUAGCAGUUGAGCAAGUCGCGGCUAGUGAGAGAAAUGACAAGGCCUGCAAUCAGAUAAAACACAUGUUUUUACAUCAAAUUAUGAUAAGGGAUAACACCAUGGUGAUGAUAUGCAUUGAGAAAUAAGAAACAAAGAAGGAACUGAAUUUUAGAGGAUAGUUUCUAAGAUGAAUUUCUUAUUGACCUACGACACCAGAAACAGCUACUUCAACUUCCCCGCAUCCUCCAGGACCUUUCAUGCAAAGUCUGUCUUUUUUGCCAGAGGAAUGACCCAUUGAUAGAAGACUUCCAAAUCCAGAACUCCCAAUUGAGAAAAAAAGACGAAAUGAUAUGAGAUGAGAACUAAAUAAGCAUGAAGAAGACAUUAAGAAUAAACUAAAAGCUAAGUUGUUUAGAACAUAAGUUAAGCAGUCUACAUGUUUUGCUCCCUUUAAACUAGACCAGGCUUACUCGACAUGAAAUCAACUACAAGUUUAAAGACUAAAUGUGCAUGUUUUUCCACAGACCAUGAUUAUUUUUGAUAAAUGAAAAAUAUGUUGAUUAAAAGGCACUAACAAGGGUCUCAACCCAUUGUAAAACUAUAGUAAAACAGAAUAUGUUUAACAUAUCAAUCAUUUUCUCACAUUCACAUUAACACAAGCAGAACAUAUUUAUCAGAUCAUGAGCUAGGUUUUUACAAAAUUCUGAAAGAAUAAAAACAGAAGGCAAUUCUUGGAAAGAUUGAUUCCAGGUAGUGUACCAUCAUAUGCAUCCCGGACCAUUUGAU